GACGAACGCUGGCGGCGUGCUUAACACAUGCAAGUCGAACGAAGAGCGAUGGAAUCUUGCUUCUAUCAAUCUUAGUGGCGAACGGGUGAGUAACGCGUAAUCAACCUUCCCUUCAGAGGGGGACAACAGUUGGAAACGACUGCUCAUACCGCAUACGAUCUAACCUCGGCAUCGAGGAGAGAUUAAAGGUGGCCUCUACAUGUAAGCUAUCACUGAAGGAUGGGAGUGCGUCUGAUUAGCUAGUUGGAGGGGUAACGGCCCACCAAGGCGAUGAUCAGUAGCAGGGCGGAGAGGAUGAACGGCCACCUUGGGACGGAGACACGGCACAGAGGCCUACGGGAGGCAGCCGGGGGGCAUCGUCCGCCAGGGACGAAAGUCUGACGGAGAAACGCCGCGGGAGGGAUGACGGCCGUCGGGUUGUAAAGGUCGGUUAAUCGGGACGAAAGGCCUUCUUGCGAAUAGUGAGAAGGAUUGACGGUACCGGAAUAGAAAGCCACGGCUAACUACGUG
This 510-nucleotide ribosomal RNA is filed under the name uncultured bacterium. Its description in RNAcentral is "partial 16S ribosomal RNA". It matches the Rfam family "Bacterial small subunit ribosomal RNA", at positions 28 to 507 of the family's 1533-position model. The record is from RNAcentral.